This 219-nucleotide ribosomal RNA is filed under the name Enterococcus cecorum. RNAcentral's name for it is "partial 23S ribosomal RNA". It matches the Rfam family "Bacterial large subunit ribosomal RNA", at positions 259 to 480 of the family's 2925-position model. The record is from RNAcentral. Lineage: Bacteria; Bacillati; Bacillota; Bacilli; Lactobacillales; Enterococcaceae.
CGGGAACAGCCCAAACCAACAAGCUUGCUUGUUGGGGUUGUAGGACUCAAAUGUGGUAGUAAGCAAGAUAGCCGAAUGACUUGGAAAAGUCAGCCAAAGUGGGUGAAAGUCCCGUAGGCAAAAUUUUGUGAGCACCUAUGAGUAUCCUGAGUACGGCGGAACACGAGAAAUUCCGUCGGAAUCUAGGAGGACCAUCUCCUAAGGCUAAAUACUCCCUAG